CGACACUAUAAGACAAAAGAGAUAAAAGAGGAUCAAGAAUUACCAAGUCCAACCUUAGACCGGGGGAAAGCCAAGCAAAUCGACUAAACCGUCUAGUCGCUACAUUCUGAAAUCUGAGUGCUACCUAUCUAGCUCAAGGAUCAU
This is a long non-coding RNA of Gossypium arboreum, 144 nucleotides long. RefSeq lists it as uncharacterized. The transcript has 3 exons. The record is from RefSeq and is a predicted model, not a curated record. NCBI's taxonomy places the organism in Eukaryota, Viridiplantae, Streptophyta, Magnoliopsida, Malvales, Malvaceae.